GGGCGUUAAGUUGCAGGGUAUAGACCCGAAACCCGGUGAUCUAGCCAUGGGCAGGUUGAAGGUUGGGUAACACUAACUGGAGGACCGAACCGACUAAUGUUGAAAAAUUAGCGGAUGACCUGUGGCUGGGGGUGAAAGGCCAAUCAAACCGGGAGAUAGCUGGUUCUCCCCGAAAGCUAUUUAGGUAGCGCCUCGUGAAUUCAUCUCCGGGGGUAGAGCACUGUUUCGGCUAGGGGGCCAUCCCGGCUUACCAACCCGAUGCAAACUGCGAAUACCGGAGAAUGUUAUCACGGGAGACACACGGCGGGUGCUAACGUCCGUCGUGAAGAGGGAAACAACCCAGACCGCCAGCUAAGGUCCCAAAGUCAUGGUUAAGUGGGAAACGAUGUGGGAAGGCCCAGACAGCCAGGAUGUUGGCUUAGAAGCAGCCAUCAUUUAAAGAAAGCGUAAUAGCUCACUGGUCGAGUCGGCCUGCGCGGAAGAUGUAACGGGGCUAAACCAUGCACCGAAGCUGCGGCAGCGAACGUAUCACCCAAGACAACUUUACGGAGUUGACGAUUGACGGAGCGAAGCGACGUCAAAGCGUUCAUUAAAGUCGAGUUGGCUUAGGGAUACGUUCGUUGGGUAGGGGAGCGUUCUGUAAGCCUGUGAAGGUGUGUCGUGAGGCAUGCUGGAGGUAUCAGAAGUGCGAAUGCUGACAUAAGUAACGAUAAAGCGGGUGAAAAGCCCGCUCGCCGGAAGACCAAGGGUUCCUGUCCAACGUUAAUCGGGGCAGGGUGAGUCGACCCCUAAGGCGAGGCCGAAAGGCGUAGUCGAUGGGAAACGGGUUAAUAUUCCCGUACUUGGUGUUACUGCGAAGGGGGGACGGAGAAGGCUAUGUUGGCCGGGCGACGGUUGUCCCGGUUUAAGCGUGUAGGUGUGUGUUCCAGGUAAAUCCGGUUCACUUUAACACUGAGGCGUGACGACGAGGCACUACGGUGCUGAAGCAACAAAUGCCCUGCUUCCAGGAAAA
This 1012-nucleotide ribosomal RNA is filed under the name Salmonella enterica subsp. enterica serovar Typhimurium. RNAcentral describes it as "partial 23S ribosomal RNA". It matches the Rfam family "Bacterial large subunit ribosomal RNA", at positions 690 to 1616 of the family's 2925-position model. Lineage: Bacteria; Pseudomonadati; Pseudomonadota; Gammaproteobacteria; Enterobacterales; Enterobacteriaceae. The record is from RNAcentral.